Molecule: long non-coding RNA, 594 nt
Organism: Brachypodium distachyon (stiff brome)
Lineage: Eukaryota; Viridiplantae; Streptophyta; Magnoliopsida; Poales; Poaceae
Exons: 2
Source: RefSeq, a predicted model, not a curated record
ACUGGUUGCUGACAAAUCUAGGCUUGCUGGCCCACUGCUAGAUUGAACGGGACAGGGAAAAAAAGGUUGGCCAUUGAACUCUGGUCUGUCCCGGUUAAACAUUGAAGAUAUUUCUAACUUUCCAUGAACCAAUCGUCUCUGCCACCGACAUCGUCACAGGUAACCACAGCGCCAGCCUCAACCGGCAAAUCAUGUAGCAACCGGAGGUAGUGCAAGAAGUUUCUGCAGCUGGAGCUGUUGGGCAGAUCCAUCCAAGUUCCAAGGAUCCUAAUGCUCUGUUUGUUUGGGCUGUGGCUGUGACAGAAGCGGCUUGGCUGAGUUGCGGACUGGGCAAUCAGGUGGCCAGGACGGGAGGAAACAAGGGAUGGGGCAGGGGUACAGAGCUAGUGGCAUAUCCUCACUAAUUUUCAUGAAGAAUCAGGGGUGAGCUGGUAGUGGGGUUGUGUGGCAGCAGGUGCUUUUACCUUGUUUGUUUCAGCUUCAGCAUUUUUUCACAAAAAAGCUGCUGUAAAAGCCCAACCAAACGGAUCCUAAGAGGAAGCCAACUAGGUUCCAUAUAAAUUUCAGUAGAAUUCCUACUAGUCUUCGUCGUAA